This 503-nucleotide ribosomal RNA is filed under the name uncultured Gammaproteobacteria bacterium. RNAcentral's name for it is "bacterial SSU rRNA". It matches the Rfam family "Bacterial small subunit ribosomal RNA", at positions 1001 to 1503 of the family's 1533-position model. Lineage: Bacteria; Pseudomonadati; Pseudomonadota; Gammaproteobacteria. The record is from RNAcentral.
CCGAGAUGGCUUAGUGCCUUCGGGAACCGUGAGACAGGUGCUGCAUGGCUGUCGUCAGCUCGUGUUGUGAAAUGUUGGGUUAAGUCCCGCAACGAGCGCAACCCUUAUCCUUUGUUGCCAGCACGUAAUGGUGGGAACUCAAAGGAGACUGCCGGUGAUAAACCGGAGGAAGGUGGGGAUGACGUCAAGUCAUCAUGGCCCUUACGAGUAGGGCUACACACGUGCUACAAUGGCAUAUACAAAGAGAAGCAAGAGCGCGAGCUGGAGCAAAUCCCAUAAAGCUUAUCUAAGUUCGGAUCGAAGUCUGCAACUCGACUUCGUGAAGCUGGAAUCGCUAGUAAUCGCGGAUCAGAACGCCGCGGUGAAUACGUUCCCGGGCCUUGUACACACCGCCCGUCACACCAUGAAAGUUGUGCCUACCAGAAGUCGUUGCGUUAACCGCAAGGAGACAGACGCCCAAGGUAGGAGCGAUGAUUGGGGUGAAGUCGUAACAAGGUAACCGU